CAAUGAUGAUGAUGAUGAUGAUGAUGAUGAUGAUGACGAUAAACGGCAUCAUCAUCCUCUUCUUGAUCCUGCUCC
This 75-nucleotide microRNA precursor is filed under the name Bigelowiella natans CCMP2755. RNAcentral's name for it is "miRNA EPrBNAG00000013588". The record is from RNAcentral. Lineage: Eukaryota; Cercozoa; Chlorarachniophyceae.